GCAAGUCGAGCGGAAACGAGAAGUAGCUUGCUACUUCGGCGUCGAGCGGCGGACGGGUGAGUAAUGCCUAGGAAAUUGCCCUGAUGUGGGGGAUAACCAUUGGAAACGAUGGCUAAUACCGCAUAAUGCCUUCGGGCCAAAGAGGGGGAUCUUCGGACCUCUCGCGUCAAGAUAUGCCUAGGUGGGAUUAGCUAGUUGGUGAGGUAAUGGCUCACCAAGGCAACGAUCCCUAGCUGGUCUGAGAGGAUGAUC
RNAcentral lists this ribosomal RNA (252 nucleotides) under uncultured bacterium. RNAcentral describes it as "partial 16S ribosomal RNA". It matches the Rfam family "Bacterial small subunit ribosomal RNA", at positions 57 to 305 of the family's 1533-position model. The record is from RNAcentral.